Gallus gallus (chicken) is the source of this 802-nucleotide long non-coding RNA. Lineage: Eukaryota; Metazoa; Chordata; Aves; Galliformes; Phasianidae. The record is from Ensembl.
AUCUCACUGGAGAUCCCUGCAUACUGGAGUCCUUCUAAAGAGUGAAAACCUAGGAGGCAAAUUCAGGCCUUCCAGAAUUAAGUUUCUGAGGUCUGGAGCUGUGUGUGGGGGUGUUUCCCUGAGGAAGUUGCCAGCAAAGUGAGUACUGCUGAGCUGAGUGCAGCACUUCUCGCUGGAGCACAUCUGUCGGUACGAUGAAUGAAUAGCACGGCAAGAAUGCAGUGUAUCAUUAGUUUGAGGAAGAAAACAGUCCUCCAUUUGUGGUUGAUCUAGAACUGAAGGUCAGCACAGUGUUAAUCCAUGGCUUCACAAUCACAGUACUUUCUGAUUAGUAUUACUGUGGAACAGGCUUCCAAAGCAAAUCACAGGGCACUUCUGUUUCAGGCUUAAAAUGAAAGUCUCAGGAACCCAAGACUGAGCUGCUUACUCUGAGAUGUACUGUGUAAACUUCAGUGUGUCCUGAAUGCUUGAACAGGAGUGAAUUUGCAUGGCAAAAGAGUAUGUGUGCCUAAGUCUAAUAAAUAUCUUGUAUUUUUCAAGUUGCAAAAUGCUUGGUUUGAACCAUACGUGAUCUCGUUUCUGCUUGAAAAUUCUGUUCAGGAUAGUAAAGCUAGCAGAGCAGUCUAAAAAAUGAGUGUAUGUUGGUAGCACGUUUCAGCAUAGUUUUAUGUAGCUAGACUGAACAUCCAUUGUGAUGCAGAAUUUUGUGUGCUGCCAAUUUCAUUUCAAUUGAAUUGUGAAUAUGCGCUGUUGCUGAUUGUAUUAAUAUGUAAUUAUUACUGUGAAUCUAAUCCCCUGAAAC